AAGCCUGUGGCCGCGUUCAAGUAAUCCAGGACAGGCUGUGUGGGUCCCAGCGGGCCUGUUCUUGGUUACCUGUACGGGGACGCGGGCCU
This 89-nucleotide microRNA precursor is filed under the name Procavia capensis (Cape rock hyrax). RNAcentral's name for it is "microRNA 26a-1 (ENSPCAG00000019820.1)". It matches the Rfam family "mir-26 microRNA precursor family". From Rfam's summary of the family: The hairpin precursors (represented here) are predicted based on base pairing and cross-species conservation -- their extents are not known. The record is from RNAcentral. Lineage: Eukaryota; Metazoa; Chordata; Mammalia; Hyracoidea; Procaviidae.